UACAGAGGUCUCAAGCGUUGUUCGGAUUCAUUGGGCGUAAAGGGUGCGUAGGUGGCGUGGUAAGUCGGGUGUGAAAUUUCGGAGCUUAACUCCGAAACUGCAUUCGAUACUGCCGUGCUUGAGGACUGGAGAGGAGACUGGAAUUUACGGUGUAGCAGUGAAAUGCGUAGAGAUCGUAAGGAAGACCAGUGGCGAAGGCGGGUCUCUGGACAGUUCCUGACACUGAGGCACGAAAGCGUGGGGAGCAAACAGG
RNAcentral lists this ribosomal RNA (253 nucleotides) under uncultured bacterium. RNAcentral's name for it is "partial 16S ribosomal RNA". It matches the Rfam family "Bacterial small subunit ribosomal RNA", at positions 524 to 776 of the family's 1533-position model. The record is from RNAcentral.